This is a long non-coding RNA of Malus domestica (apple), 611 nucleotides long. RefSeq lists it as uncharacterized. Lineage: Eukaryota; Viridiplantae; Streptophyta; Magnoliopsida; Rosales; Rosaceae. The record is from RefSeq and is a predicted model, not a curated record.
CCCUCUUCAAAAGCCACCAAUCAAGUUACUCACUCACACCAGUCACCAAUCAAAAAUUCAAAAAGCAAUUUUCUCUCUCUCUCUUCUUUCUCUCUCCAAAGGCACUCUCUCAUUCUCUCACUCUGCAACUCUAUCAAACAAACACUAAACUUCACCGAUGUGACCUGAAACUACACCAUUGUGUUCCUCUCACCUCCACAAACACAACCAUACCACUGGAUCAUGUGUUCACCAAGUUUUGGACGUCGAACUCAAAAGGUCUGAACUCAAUGAGCUUGAGUUCAACGAGUUUCAGGCCGAGUCAAGGAGUUUUGAAGGUCGGGGAAGUUUCCUUUCAACUUCCCAAGGCUCCUAGGACAUGUUUGAGGAAGUUUUGACGUGAAACCACCCAGUUUCAAGAAGUCCCAGUUUUAGCCGUACCUUUCAAGCCAUUUUUAGGCCACCUCCGUCCACUUUUUGGACUCCAAAAGUUUUUGGCGAGUUCAGACUGCGGCAACCGGUGAGGAUGACCAAAGAAGACGACGGAAUAUUCUAACGGCGUCAGGGGAAACAUAUCCCGAGGACUUAAGGGGUCAAGCACGGCUCGGGGGCUACGAUCCGACGACGUACUU